ACCUGGCCAUGGCACCCUCAACAAGCUUGAUCCCGUCUGAUCUCGGAAGCUAAGCAGGGUCGGGCCUGGUUAGUUAUUUGAUAGGAGACCACCUAGGAAGGCCAGGUGCUGUAGGUG
RNAcentral lists this ribosomal RNA (117 nucleotides) under Pteropus alecto (black flying fox). Lineage: Eukaryota; Metazoa; Chordata; Mammalia; Chiroptera; Pteropodidae. The record is from RNAcentral.